Long non-coding RNA from Gadus macrocephalus (Pacific cod), 2360 nucleotides. RefSeq lists it as uncharacterized. Lineage: Eukaryota; Metazoa; Chordata; Actinopteri; Gadiformes; Gadidae. The record is from RefSeq and is a predicted model, not a curated record. The transcript has 4 exons.
UGUGGGUACACGCUCAGGAAAGGAAGUAGGGGGUCUACCCAAAGCUCAGCGACCGGUGGCCUGGGCAAUGCAUAAUGCUGGCCAGAGUGAUAGAUGUCCACAGGGUGGGCGCUGGUAAGAGGCCACAAGGUGGUCCUACAUCGUGACUGUCUGGCACCCUUCCAGCCAUUGCCAAAGAGAGCUCGGCUUGUGCUGAGCCAACACCUGGAUCGGACACAUCCCCUGUUGUGGUACCUGAGCACACAGGGCGCCUCGCUACCGAGGCGCCAACGACGCCCUGCUCUGCACCUCCAGGCCUUUUGUGAUGGUUGCACGGGUUGCUGGGGUCAACUGCAUUCUACUAAAGUUUAAUCAAAGUCUUGGAUAUUGCCCGCCCCGCAGUCAUCCUGGGUCUACAGAGCCGGUCUCUUCUCUCGCUGUGUCCAAUGACUUCCCGUCCUCUCACACACAGGAGACAGAUGAAAAGGGCUCUCUGGAAUCACUCGAGCAGUCUUCAAUCCUUCUUCGAGGCAGACAGACACCAGCGGAGAUGAGAGUGUAGGAGGUGGUGGUUAGAGGACGUGAUGAGACGUUGCACCUCUUCUGUCAGAGAAACACGUUCCCUGCCCAUCAAAGAUCAUUGCGUGUGAUGGAUCCAUGAGGGGAAGUACAAUAUUAACCUGUUGAACUCUAAACCACUGAAGCUUCGUCCCGUUUCAGUCAUCAGAGUCACCAUUACUGUGUAAAUGUCUGUGCACGUCCUCGUUGUGUUAGCGGUGGUGAACGCAUUGUGAAUGGCGCAUUAAAAUAUAUUCAACCAUGUAUUACUAAUUAUACUUUCAUUCAUUACUAAGAUAUUCAUGAACAGUAUAUUAAUGUAAAGCUAUUACACAAUAAUGGCUUCCUGGCCCCCUGAGACGAACGAUUUGAAUACUUGCCUUAGAUCAAUAACUGCCUCAACUAAUCAAGGUUUAUGAUGUAAUUAACGUAGCCCUCCUGUUUCUCACUUCUCCAGAGAGUAUGAGGACUUGUAAAGAUUCAGUCGGAGUAGAUGCUAUUAAAUAUCUAUUCUAGUCUACAUAUGGAGUUGGGGACAUGCAGACCACAAACCAAUGAUUUUUUUCUCCUUCUCUUUUUUGUUGUUUUUACUCUAAAAUGUUUUACUCUGUAGUUCAAUUAAUAUUGGCCUAUUGGGGGUUUGAUGUAUAAUUUACUGAUUUCUGUAAUAAAUGCGGGCUGUGAAGGGAUUUUGUUCAACUAAACGAAAGUAGGAAACAUCGCCUUCUCUGAAAUUGCACAAUUACAAGGAAAUGCCCUGGUGUUCACAUGUAUAUGCAGACAAUAAUGUUUGGGAAAUCGAUUUUUCUGUUUAGUGGAAUGCAGCUGUGUGUAAAAUGUAGUACAUUGAGCAGUUGUAGAAAAUUAAAAUAGCAAUCAUGCAAAACACUGGUCUCAGACAUGAAUAUGUAUGUGUGUGCAUGCGUGCGUGCAUCUACACGUGUGUGUGUGCGUGUGUGUGUGUGUUUGGUGCACUCUGUACACUUUGUGUAUGUGUGUGUGUGUGUGUGUGUGUGUGUGUGCGUGUGUGUGCGUGUGUGUGUGUGUGUGUGUGUGUGUGUGUGUGUGUGUGUGUGUGUGUGUGUGUGUGUGUGUGUGUGUGUGUGUGUGUGUGAGUAUGCUUGCAUUUAUUCCAACAAUGUUCACACGCUCAAAAAGUAAUAAAAGCUUUUUUUAAUCUUUUAUUUUCUAGAAAGGACACAGCUGGACCGACUUAUAUCAAAAUGUCAACCACGAAAACGCUUUGUGACAUUUUGAUGGCUGGCGGCGAAACGAAGAGAGAGAACUACACCUUUAAGAAGCCAAAACCCUGUAGUAUCAAAUUAGACUAUGACCUUUCGGAGGCGAUAAGGGAAACUCUUUUUGGGGGGGGAGGGAGCAGUUUGAUCCUGCAGCUUCAGCCCCUGGGUUCAACCUUAGCCUCUGUGUCCACACUGACCCUGGAGACAGAGCUGCUCUACCAGGUGGACAUCAGACAUGAAUCUUGUUUGCCGUCUCAUUUAUCUUAGCGAGGGGGUGGUCACGAUGGGGGUACUAGCGAUGGGGGUGUUGGUCCAGGCGGUUUGCUGAUGAAAUGGAUGUUGGUGAAGAGCACAUAGGCCGGGAUAAUGGGGGAAAACACUGAGGUCAGAGUUUGUACGAGAAUAGUUUUGCCCAGGAAAUGUAGAAAAUGAAGGACGUAACGAACCUGUCUGUCUGUCCGUCUCCAGUGGCAUAGGCCAUGCGGCAGGUAAUGGAUGUUUGCAAAGGAAUAUCAACUUUGAUGAAUUCUACAGACAGACGGCUGGGGACGGACGGACAGACAGACAGACAGAUUGGAGAGA